RNAcentral lists this long non-coding RNA (226 nucleotides) under Malus domestica (apple). RNAcentral describes it as "long non-coding RNA (MDOM_LNC018330)". The record is from RNAcentral. Lineage: Eukaryota; Viridiplantae; Streptophyta; Magnoliopsida; Rosales; Rosaceae.
GCCAUCUCUUUGAAUCAAUGUCGGACAUUGCUUCAGUGUAGUCCCUAGGGUCCUCCUUUGUGUCAUUGCCACCUAGAAGGUGCAAUUCCGCAAAUUCAUUGUCUAAGCCAUACCUCUUAGGUGGCUUACUAACCCGUUCAGAUCUACGUGGAGCUAGGGGUUCAGGAACAGGGCUGUCAACUUGUCGAGUGCUGGUUUGUGGUUCAUCAUUAAUAUAGCAGUUAUG